This 561-nucleotide ribosomal RNA is filed under the name uncultured bacterium. Its description in RNAcentral is "bacterial SSU rRNA". It matches the Rfam family "Bacterial small subunit ribosomal RNA", at positions 224 to 783 of the family's 1533-position model. The record is from RNAcentral.
GAUGAACCUGCGUCCCAUUAGGUAGUUGGCGGGGUAAUGGCCCACCAAGCCGACGAUGGGUAGCUGGUCUGAGAGGACGAUCAGCCACACUGGAACUGAGACACGGUCCAGACUCCUACGGGAGGCAGCAGUGAGGAAUAUUGCGCAAUGCCCGCAAGGGUGACGCAGCGACGCCGCGUGGAGGAUGAAGGCCCUAUGGGUCGUAAACUCCUUUUGUGAGGGAAUAAUUUGUUGCUACAAGCAGCAUUGAAUGUACCUCAGGAAAAAGCAUCGGCUAACUACGUGCCAGCAGCCGCGGUAAUACGUAGGAUGCUAGCGUUGUCCGGAUUUACUGGGUGUAAAGGGAGCGCAGGCGGGUUGGUAAGUCGGUGGUGAAAUUUUCGGGCUUAACCCGAAAACUGCCAUCGAUACUGCUAAUCUUGAGUGCAGAAGAGGUUGAUGGAAUUCUAGGUGUAGCGGUGAAAUGCGUAGAUAUCUAGAAGAACACCGAUGGCGAAGGCAGUCAACUGGUCUGCUACUGACGCUCAUGCUCGAAAGCGUGGGGAUCAAACAGGAUUAGAU